This 119-nucleotide ribosomal RNA is filed under the name Pteropus alecto (black flying fox). The record is from RNAcentral. Lineage: Eukaryota; Metazoa; Chordata; Mammalia; Chiroptera; Pteropodidae.
GUCUAUGGCCAAGCUAUCCUGAACAAGCCUGAUCCCAUCUGAUUCCGGAAGCUAAGCAGGGUCUGGCCUGGUUAGUACUUGGAUGAGAGACCACCUAGGAAGACUAGGCGCUGUAGGCA